This 472-nucleotide ribosomal RNA is filed under the name uncultured bacterium. RNAcentral describes it as "bacterial SSU rRNA". It matches the Rfam family "Bacterial small subunit ribosomal RNA", at positions 355 to 825 of the family's 1533-position model. The record is from RNAcentral.
UGGGGAAUUUUGGACAAUGGGGGCAACCCUGAUCCAGCAAUGCCGUGUGAGUGAAGAAGGCCUUCGGGUUGUAAAGCUCUUUUGUCAGGGAAGAAACGGUAGUAGCGAAUAACUAUUACUAAUGACGGUACCUGAAGAAUAAGCACCGGCUAACUACGUGCCAGCAGCCGCGGUAAUACGUAGGGUGCAAACGUUAAUCGGAAUUACUGGGCGUAAAGCGUGCGCAGGCGGUUGUGUAAGUCAGAUGUGAAAUCCCCGGGCUCAACCUGGGAAUUGCAUUUGAGACUGCACGGCUAGAGUGUGUCAGAGGGGGGUAGAAUUCCACGUGUAGCAGUGAAAUGCGUAGAUAUGUGGAGGAACACCGAUGGCGAAGGCAGCCCCCUGGGUUAACACUGACGCUCAUGCACGAAAGCGUGGGGAGCAAACAGGAUUAGAUACCCUAGUAGUCCCUGAGCGGGCUGGCAAGGCGCAU